CACCUUGACUUCCCAAGGUGCUAGGAUUACAGGUGUGAGCCACUGCACCUGGCCAGAUAACAGAUUUUUAACCUGUAGUAAAAUAGGCCAAGAGGAAAAACAAGCAAAUUCAAGAACCUUAGGCCUGAGCCAUACUGUAUAGUAUGGCUAUACCCCCAAACAUUCUCCCUCUCAUCAUCUGAUUUGUGAGGUAGGUCCUCCAUAUUACAGAUGAGGAAUUUGAGGCUUACAGAGGGUAGGUGACUUAGCCAAGAUCACACAGCUGGUAACCAACAGGGCCAGAAUUAGGAUCCAAGAUUAGAAUCCAAGUCCUGUGCCUCCAGAUAUUUGAUCUUUUUAUACUGUAAUCCAUACAUCAUAUAAGGCCUGAAGAGGCAGAGGCUGAAUUCUUGAACAUGUUCCCUGAGUGCAGAUAUGCUUUCCCCCAGGAAGGUGUCUUACCUGACUCUGUCAUUUCCACCGAGGGGGGCUCUGGAGGGGAAGGAUGGGAGUGGAAGAUAUAACCUUGGCCUUUUAAUGUUGAGCUACGGAUGUAUCCAAGGUGCUUGGAUCAAUCUCUUCAGACAGUGCAUGAAACCCAACUGAAAUGCUUGUGACAGUCCAGUGGUAUUUCAGGGAACCAUUGCCUGUUUCUUCCAGAAAUUCUAAUAAGAAUGGACAUUUAUUGAGCACCUGCUAUAUGCCAGACAUUCCUUCCUCUAACAGUUUAGGGGUGUUCUUACCAUUUCCCUCCCCCAGAUAGAGAAAUGGGAGUUCAGAGACACAGCCAAGAUUACAUUGCUGGUAAGUGACAAGUAAGAGUUAGGCCAGGUUUGAUUCUGUUCAAGGACCACACUCUUACCCACUACCCUCAAAGAGCAGCGGCAGAGCCCUUGAUUUCUGAUCCACCCAUGGGAGGGACGCCUUUUCCCCUGUCACCAGGGUACAGCCAGUUUCUGCAUUUUGCAUGCUUGUGUUCCAGAAAUUCAAGUGCAAGUUGAUCCAACCUCCUAAGUUUGAUGGCAUGGACCUUAGCAUUAGGGAAGUAUGCAGGAGCUGGCUGUAUUCAGGAAGCCACCAUAGAUGCAUAUGGCUGGAAUAUUAAAUGAGGGCGGGGUUUGGGGAAGAACUGGGGGCAAUUGUUAAAUCAGAAAGAGCCUUGUUGUUCUUGCUUAGGAGACAUCAAUUUUGUUCUCUAGGCAAUGGAGAAUCACCAGAUAAUUUUGCAUGGGGCAAUGACAUGGUUAUAUUUCCAUGUGAUGUCUUAUUUGGCUUGGAAAUCAGGUGCUGCUUCCCAGAGGAGGUAUCAGUUAACCUAGGACUGAAAGGAUGGAUUGGAUGUCACCCAGGGACGAAGCGACUGUGACAAGAUACAAGCACAGGGAUCCCAUGAGCUUGGCAGGAGUGUGUGAUCUCACUGCAUAGGUACAGACACAGCACUAAUGGAGGCUGAGCACAGAUGGCAGAACUGGAGACAAGCUCCCGGGAACCCAGGUCCCUGGGAGGUGGCCCUGGCCUGUGGGGUGAAAACACCAAGUCUGAGGCCAAGAGCAGAGCUGGCAUUUCCCAGGCUACAUGAUGAAGAUGAAGCUGCCUAUCUUUUCUGCUUCCCAUUUUUUUUUCUUUUUCUUAUUUAUUUAUUUUAUUUAUUUAUUUUUUGAGACAGAGUCUCACUCUAUUACCCAGGCUGGAGUGCAGUGAUGUGAUCUUAGCUCACUGCAACCUGUGCCCCCGCGUUCAAGUCAUUUUCAUGCCUCUGCUUCCCAGGUGGCUGGGACUACAGGCACAUGACACCACGGC
Molecule: long non-coding RNA, 1779 nt
Filed under: Homo sapiens (human)
Lineage: Eukaryota; Metazoa; Chordata; Mammalia; Primates; Hominidae
Description: HSALNT0349541
Source: RNAcentral